CCUACGGGGGGCUGCAGUGGGGAAUAUUGGACAAUGGGCGAAAGCCUGAUCCAGCCAUGCCGCGUGUGUGAAGAAGGCCUUCGGGUUGUAAAGCACUUUCAGUGGGGAAGAAAGCCUUGGGGCUAAUACCCUCGAGGAAGGACAUCACCCACAGAAGAAGCACCGGCUAACUCCGUGCCAGCAGCCGCGGUAAUACGGAGGGUGCGAGCGUUAAUCGGAAUUACUGGGCGUAAAGCGCGCGUAGGCGGUCUGAUAAGCCGGUUGUGAAAGCCCCGGGCUCAACCUGGGAACGGCAUCCGGAACUGUCAGGCUAGAGUGCAGGAGAGGAAGGUAGAAUUCCCGGUGUAGCGGUGAAAUGCGUAGAGAUCGGGAGGAAUACCAGUGGCGAAGGCGGCCUUCUGGACUGACACUGCCGCUGAGGUGCGAAAGCGUGGGUAGCAAACAGGAUUAGAUACCCGGGUAGUC
RNAcentral lists this ribosomal RNA (465 nucleotides) under Vreelandella stevensii. RNAcentral's name for it is "partial 16S ribosomal RNA". It matches the Rfam family "Bacterial small subunit ribosomal RNA", at positions 338 to 795 of the family's 1533-position model. The record is from RNAcentral. Lineage: Bacteria; Pseudomonadati; Pseudomonadota; Gammaproteobacteria; Oceanospirillales; Halomonadaceae.